Molecule: ribosomal RNA, 490 nt
Filed under: Babesia microti
Lineage: Eukaryota; Apicomplexa; Aconoidasida; Piroplasmida; Babesiidae
Description: SSU rRNA
Rfam family: Eukaryotic small subunit ribosomal RNA
Source: RNAcentral
GUCUUGUAAUUGGAAUGAUGGGAAUCUAAACCCUUCCCAGAGUAUCAAUUGGAGGGCAAGUCUGGUGCCAGCAGCCGCGGUAAUUCCAGCUCCAAUAGCGUAUAUUAAAGUUGUUGCAGUUAAGAAGCUCGUAGUUGAAUUUCUGCCUUGUCAUUAAUCUCGCUUCCGAGCGUUUUUUUAUUGGCUUGGCAUCUUCUGGAUUUGGUGCCUUCGGGUACUAUUUUCCAGGAUUUACUUUGAGAAAACUAGAGUGUUUCAAACAGGCAUUCGCCUUGAAUACUACAGCAUGGAAUAAUGAAGUAGGACUUUGGUUCUAUUUUGUUGGUUAUUGAGCCAGAGUAAUGGUUAAUAGGAGCAGUUGGGGGCAUUCGUAUUUAACUGUCAGAGGUGAAAUUCUAGAUUUGUUAAAGACGAACUACUGCGAAAGCAUUUGCCAAGGAUGUUUCAUUAAUCAAGACGAAGUUAGGGGAACGGUCAGAUCCGUCUCAUA